This 247-nucleotide ribosomal RNA is filed under the name uncultured bacterium. RNAcentral's name for it is "partial small subunit ribosomal RNA". It matches the Rfam family "Bacterial small subunit ribosomal RNA", at positions 26 to 288 of the family's 1533-position model. The record is from RNAcentral.
AGAAUCAACGCUGGCGGCGUGCCUAACACAUGCAAGUCGAACGAGAAAGUGGAGCAAUCCAUGAGUAAAGUGGCGACCGGGUGAGUAACACGUGACUAACCUACCUUCGAGUGGGGGAUAACCUCGGGAAACCGGGCUAAUACCGCAUAAUGCCUUCGGGUUAAAGGAGCAAUUCGCUUGAAGAGGGGGUCGCGGCUGAUUAGCUAGUUGGCGGGGUAACGGCCCACCAAGGCGAAGAUCGGUAGCC